AUGGUAAGAUAGCUUCUCCUGUCUUACUGCAGGAAGUCCUCAUCCCUGAGAUGAAGUGGAGAAAGGUAUGCCCUUCCUCCAGGUCCCUGUCUCUCCCAGACAACAUCCCUUGUAUCCCUCCAUCAUCCGUGGACUCCACAGACAGUUUCUUCCCCUCCAGGAAGCCUCCAAUGUCUGAAAAGUCAAGAGCCCAAGUAGCUUCAGAAAAUGGUGGGAGGUGGGCAUGGCCCAUGCCAGGCUGGGGUCCUGCCUGCCCUAAGAAGAUGCCGAACUGCUCUCCCACUGCAAAGAAUGCUGUCUAUGAGGAGGAUGAGCUGGAGGAGGAGCCCAGGAGCACUGGGGAGCUGAGGCUCUGGGAUUACCGGCUCCUCAAGGUCUUCUUUGUGCUGAUCUGCUUCCUGGUCAUGUCCUCAUCCUACCUGGCGUUCCGUAUUUCUCGGCUAGAGCAGCAGUUAUGCUCCUUGAGUUGGGAUGACCCAGUCCCUGGGCACAGGUAACAGCCACUUGGCCUUUGUCCCCAUUCCUUCUCCAAGAAGAAUGUUCUGGGUGCUAAGUCUCCACCAAUGAUCCCUGUGGUUUAUGCUGCUGCUGUGCUAAGACUGCCUAUGAAGGAAAAUAUUCCAGAUCCCUCCUCCUCCCCGCAGCUCUUCUCUUCCCUCUAUGAGAGAUCUGAAGUACGUGUUUACAAAGUAACUGGCUUCUACAAUUUUUGGACUCAAGCAAAAAGCCAGAUUUUUUGGAACCAACUGAGGAAUUCUGUACACAAAGCUUCAGCAAACACUUAGAGAAAACAAACAAACAAACAAACUGGGUCCUUGGAAACAGUUCUGGCACACAGGCAGAACACUGGAGGCCACCUCAAAGGACAGAGGCCAUGCUUUCGCAUUUGGAAUGUGGCUCUGCCACACAGCUCACUCCUAUGGUGGGGUCAGAGGUCAGAACACAAACCACCCAUGUGGGCUCUGCUCCCUCCCAACACUCUGUGUUCCCACAGGGCUUCUCUGCGGGCAGCCAGGCACCUGUC
This 1024-nucleotide long non-coding RNA is filed under the name Homo sapiens (human). RNAcentral's name for it is "non-protein coding lnc-PKM-66:5". The record is from RNAcentral. Lineage: Eukaryota; Metazoa; Chordata; Mammalia; Primates; Hominidae.